CGUUUGACUGUCCAUCUUAUAUGAAAUUUUUUUUUAUGAUUACUAUUUUCAUUGUUGUUAGAUGAUAAAACAAGAAUAAUAUUUUAUGCAUGAUUUAUCUUUUUAUUUUUUUUAUAAUUUUUUUAAAUAAGACGGAUGGUCAAAUG
This 146-nucleotide microRNA precursor is filed under the name Oryza nivara. RNAcentral describes it as "MIR812 microRNA precursor family". It matches the Rfam family "MIR812 microRNA precursor family", at positions 32 to 174 of the family's 205-position model. The record is from Rfam by way of RNAcentral. Lineage: Eukaryota; Viridiplantae; Streptophyta; Magnoliopsida; Poales; Poaceae.